AUUGAACGCUGGCGGCAGGCCUAACACAUGCGAGUCGAGCGGAUGAAGGGAGCUUGCUCCUGGAUUCAGCGGCGGACGGGUGAGUAAUGCCUAGGAAUCUGCCUGGUAGUGGGGGAUAACGUCCGGAAACGGGCGCUAAUACCGCAUACGUCCUGAGGGAGAAAGUGGGGGAUCUUCGGACCUCACGCUAUCAGAUGAGCCUAGGUCGGAUUAGCUAGUUGGUGGGGUAAAGGCCUACCAAGGCGACGAUCCGUAACUGGUCUGAGAGGAUGAUCAGUCACACUGGAACUGAGACACGGUCCAGACUCCUACGGGAGGCAGCAGUGGGGAAUAUUGGACAAUGGGCGAAAGCCCGAUCCAGCCAUGCCGCGUGUGUGAAGAAGGUCUUCGGAUUGUAAAGCACUUUAAGUUGGGAGGAAGGGCAGUAAGUUAAUACCUUGCUGUUUUGACGUUACCAACAGAAUAAGCACCGGCUAACUUCGUG
This 484-nucleotide ribosomal RNA is filed under the name uncultured bacterium. RNAcentral describes it as "partial 16S ribosomal RNA". It matches the Rfam family "Bacterial small subunit ribosomal RNA", at positions 30 to 507 of the family's 1533-position model. The record is from RNAcentral.